GACGAACGCUGGCGGCGUGCUUAACACAUGCAAGUCGAACGGAAAGGCCUGCUUUCCCUUGUGGAUUGCGGGUACUCGAGUGGCGAACGGGUGAGUAACACGUGAGUGAUCUGCCCCCAGCUUGGGUAUAAGCCUGGGAAACUGGGUCUAAUUCCCGAUAGGACUGCAGGGUGGUGCCUGUGGUGGAAAACGAUUUUCUAGUGGUUGGGGAUGAGCUCGCGGCCUAUCAGCUUGUUGGUGGGGUAAUGGCCUACCAAGGCGGCGACGGGUAGCCGGCCUGAGGGGGUGGACGGCCACAUUGGGACUGGGAUACGGCCCAGACUCCUACGGGAGGCAGCAGUGGGGAAUAUUGCACAAUGGGCGGAAGCCUGAUGCAGCGACGCCGCGUGGGGGAUGACGGCCUUCGGGUUGUAAACUCCUUUCGACCGCGAGGAAGCCACCUGGUUGGAAGGGUGGUGACGGUAGUGGUAGAAGAAGCACCGGCUAACUACGUG
Molecule: ribosomal RNA, 494 nt
Filed under: uncultured bacterium
Lineage: Bacteria
Description: partial 16S ribosomal RNA
Rfam family: Bacterial small subunit ribosomal RNA
Source: RNAcentral